UUUCCGUAGGUGAACCUGUGGAAGGAUCAUUAAAAAAUUGGACUCCAUUGGUGAGUUCAUUAAUAAUCCCUACCCUUUGUGAAUUUGUUUGUUUGAAUAAUUUUUUUUCCAAAAAAAAUUAUUGAAUGUCUUUCCUUGUUUUGGUGGAGCUUGUAAAGUGAAACCAGGCAGGGGAAUGGCAAACAAUAAUUAUUUUUGAAAAAGACCUUUUUUUAAAAUUAAACUUUUGUAUUCAUUUGUCUAAAAUUAAUUUUUAUAAUAUAAAAACAACUUUUGACAAUGGAUCUCUUGGUUCUCGCAACGAUGAAGAACGCAGCAAAAUGCGAUAAGUAGUGUGAAUUGCAGAAUACGUGAAUCAUCGAAUCUUCGAACGCAUAUUGCACUUUUUUAGUUUACUAAAAAAGUAUGUCUGUUUGAGUAUCAGUAAAAUAUUCUCAUAAAAAACAUUGUUUUUUUUAUGGUUAUGAGUGUUUUACAACGAUAACAAGUUGUUUCACUUUAAAUUCUUUGUUAUCAAAAAAAUCAUCAAAAGCUAAUUUUAAAGAUUUUUUAAAAUUGGAUAAAAUUUUCCCGUAAAAAGGAAUAACCUAAACAAUUUUAAAAAAUUAAAAUUGGUUUGAUUUUUUUUGAAACCCAAAGGAAAAAAAAAACGAAAUUAACUUGAUCUCAAAUCAGAUAAGAGUACCCGCUGAACUUAAGCAUAUCAAUAAGCGGAGGAAAAGAAACUAACUAGGAUUCCCUCAGUAACGGCGAGUGAAGCGGGAAGAGCUCAAAUUUGAAAUCUUCAAGGUUUUACCUUGACGAAUUGUAGUUUAAAGAAGUGUUUUCUGUUGGAGUUUUGGUAAAAGUUCUUUGGAAAAGGACAUCAUAGAGGGUGAGAAUCCCGUAUUUGACCAUUAUCUCCAGCUUUGUGAUACACUUUCAAAGAGUCGGAUUGUUUGGGAAUGCAGUCCAAAAUGGGUGGUAAAUUUCAUCUAAAGCUAAAUACUGGCGAGAGACCGAUAGCGAACAAGUACCGUGAGGGAAAGAUGAAAAGAACUUUGAAAAGAGAGUUAAACAGUACGUGAAAUUGUCAAAAGGGAAGCGUUUGACACCAGUGUUGUUUUCUCGAAAAUCAAUUAAAAAAGGCCGGAUUUUGUGUUGUAUUGACUUUAUCAGCUUUCUGCACUCUUUUCUUGUCUUUUUUAAUGCACUUUUCGUUUAACAAGUCAACAUCAAUUUCUUUUGUUGUAAAAGGGUCAUUGGAAGGUGGCUUUCUUUUCGGAGAAAGUGUUUAUAGCCUUUGGCCUCUGCAAUCGGAGAGAUUGAGGUCUGCAGCGUAGAUCCUUCGGGGUUAGAUACAUUUGUGCUAAGUUAUAGCCUUUCAUAGACAACUUGUUGACUAUGAUCAGUCAUGUAGCUUACUCGCUUAUGCUAUUU
This 1419-nucleotide unclassified non-coding RNA is filed under the name uncultured Neocallimastigales. Its description in RNAcentral is "partial contains small subunit ribosomal RNA, internal transcribed spacer 1, 5.8S ribosomal RNA, internal transcribed spacer 2, and large subunit ribosomal RNA". The stretch from base 662 to 1419 matches the Rfam family "Eukaryotic large subunit ribosomal RNA", at positions 1 to 617 of the family's 3401-position model. Lineage: Eukaryota; Fungi; Neocallimastigomycota; Neocallimastigomycetes; Neocallimastigales. The record is from RNAcentral.